AAGUCUGAUGUGAAAGACCUUCGGCUUAACCGGACGAAGUAGCAUCGGAAACUAGGAUAACUUGAGUGCAGAAGAGGGUAGGUGGAACGUCCAUGUGUAGCGGUGGAAUGCGUAGAUAUAUGGAAGAACACCAGUGGCGAAGGCGGCUACCUGGUCUGCAACUGACGCUGAGACUCGAAAAGCAUGGGUAGCGAACAGGAUUAGAUACCCUGGUAG
Molecule: ribosomal RNA, 216 nt
Filed under: uncultured bacterium
Lineage: Bacteria
Description: partial 16S ribosomal RNA
Rfam family: Bacterial small subunit ribosomal RNA
Source: RNAcentral